Lolium rigidum is the source of this 373-nucleotide long non-coding RNA. RefSeq lists it as uncharacterized. Lineage: Eukaryota; Viridiplantae; Streptophyta; Magnoliopsida; Poales; Poaceae. The transcript has 3 exons. The record is from RefSeq and is a predicted model, not a curated record.
UGGGAUGAUGAUUUUGUAGUCAAGAACCGGGAUCAUGGAGAGACCAAGACUCCCAAACGGUUCAUCAACGACCCCAUGAGGAGCGAAUUCCACCGCAAAUUUCUGCGUAGAACGACUAUGAAGUUGAAUCAGCAGUCCAUGGUUGUGGAGAAGGGGAUGGAGCCUUGUGGCGAGAGAAGAGGCGUAUCCAAGGAGAAAUUGUUGGAAAAUGGGAAAAGGAAGAUUGAGAAGCUGCUCGACUCGAUUUUUCUGGAUAUGUCAAAGUCUCACAUGCUUGGUACACAAGACAUGACCGAAGCAAAAUACUAGAAGUGGGAGAAGGAACCCGCACCACAUGUCUGGGAUGGAUUCUUGUCCAUCAUGGGUGAGCACA